AAAGCAGAACGUGCUGUCAUUUUUUAUUCUGACUUCUCUAUUUUGAUCAGAGCAGUGUAUCACAAGUGUAGGACUGAGGAUCUUCUGGAUCUUCUGCUAUCAGCUGUGUUUAAAGAGUGAUGCUGCCAUGUCUCCCCAAAGAUCAGCACAUAUCACAGCAGCAGUGAUCCUCAUUUUACUGGCAGGCCACCAAAUACCAGCUUCAUCUAGAAAUACAGUCCAACAGGUUGUAGGACAGAGUGUGGUGAAACUGACCUGUAGCUCUACCUGCAGCUCCAGUGGAAACUGUUACUACAGAUGGUACGAUGGUUCCUGGUCGAGCAAUUACUUGGGCUGUUCAUCUAGUGCCACAGUUUGGAUCGACUCCACCAGUUCAUCUAAUAAGAAAGGAUACUCCUGUUAUGUCAAUAACAAAGUCCAGCCUCCUUCAGACUGUAAGUACAGCGGUGGUCUGUCUCUCAGUAAAGAGAAUCAUUCAGGAUGUUUAGAACCAGGAACUCGGGUUCUACUUUAGAAUUAUGAGGUUCCUCUUUUGAACAGUCCAGUUCUGAAAAACCAAGUAAGAUUUUACUUCUGUAAAAAAACAAUUUCCAAGAUCAGCUCUUGCUCAUUCAGGAGGCUUCAGGAAUCCUGGUUCUUGUGCUGCAUGAUUUAUUUAGAAAGCCCAGAGAGGUUUAGUGCAGAUACACAGAUAAAUCAACUAUAAAAUUACUGAAAAAUUCCCCCCAAAUUAUAUUUAUACUUAGCACAGAGAUUUGAUUAGCUAUACACAAGCUAAUAAAACUUAAUAUAAGUAUUUAUUGUGUUAUACU
Molecule: long non-coding RNA, 812 nt
Filed under: Astyanax mexicanus (Mexican tetra)
Lineage: Eukaryota; Metazoa; Chordata; Actinopteri; Characiformes; Acestrorhamphidae
Description: lncRNA (ENSAMXG00005015953.1)
Source: RNAcentral